GGUGCUUGCGUACUUUUGGCGCUACCGUAACGCGGAAAAUUUUAAAAUUGAACUAGAAUGGUCUAG
Non-coding RNA from Caenorhabditis elegans, 66 nucleotides. The record is from Ensembl. Lineage: Eukaryota; Metazoa; Nematoda; Chromadorea; Rhabditida; Rhabditidae.